This 253-nucleotide ribosomal RNA is filed under the name uncultured bacterium. Its description in RNAcentral is "partial 16S ribosomal RNA". It matches the Rfam family "Bacterial small subunit ribosomal RNA", at positions 524 to 776 of the family's 1533-position model. The record is from RNAcentral.
UACGGAGGAUGCAAGCGUUAUCCGGAAUUAUUGGGCGUAAAGCGUCCGCAGGUGGCACUUCAAGUCUGCGGUCAAAGACUGGGGCUUAACCCUGGAAAGGCCGUGGAAACUGAAUAGCUAGAGUGCAGUAGGGGUAGAGGGAAUUCCCGGUGUAGCGGUGAAAUGCGUAGAGCUCGGGAAGAACAUCGGUGGCGAAAGCGCUCUGCUGGACUGCAACUGACACUCAGGGACGAAAGCUAGGGGAGCGAAUGGG